CUCUUAGACUUUAUACCUCAUAUAUGAUUUCAGUAGACACCCCCUGAGUUGAGGAUGUCUGGUUGAUAACCUCACUCUCUUCUCAGAAACAUGACUAACCCGGGGGAGGAAGACACAGAAAAGCAACAGCUCUGUCAUUGGCUGACAAGAUCCUGACAACAACACAACGAGAGCUGUACUCCUCCUUGCUAGUCUUUACUAGUAGCUGUUACUUCUGUUCUCUGGAAAUUCUUUAAACCUAGGAUCAGACACAAAAACUGAUUGGGUCCACAAUCCUCAUUUGUCCUUGAAGUAUGAGGCUGGUGGCAAAAGUAACUGUGUUUCUGACCUUUGGGACUAUAAUUGAUGCUAAGACCACUCAGCCCACCUCCAUGGAUUGUGCUGAAGGAAGAGCUGCAAACCUACCUUGUAAUCACUCUACCAUCGGUGGAAAUGAGUACAUACAUUGGUAUCGACAGAUUCACUCUCAGGGGCCACAGUAUGUCAUUCAUGGUCUAAAAAACAAUGAGACCAAUGAAAUGGCCUCUCUGAUCAUUGCAGAAGACAGAAAGUCCAGCACCUUGAUCCUGCCCCACGCUACGCUGAGCGACACUGCUGUGUACUAUUGCAUCGUGAGAGUCGCACAUUGGGACAGAUGGGGCUGCACCUGUGCAAUAUCUCCCUGGUGGCAAGGGAGGAGGAGGAUAGCAUUCAUCUGGAACGAAAUGUCGAUAGGAGUCAAAAAGUAACAAGAAAAUGGGAAAAGGAAGGGAAUGAGAGAAGGAAGAAAAAUAGGUAAAGUAAAUAAGGGAGAUAGGAUGAAGGGUAAAAAGACAGGAAUAAGAACUUUAUUUGUUGAUGUGGCUGAGAAAAAUGAAGAGACUGUAAAUUAUAAUUUGAGCAUAGCAAUAAAAUGAAGAAGCUUAAGAAUUUAGACGACUCCACUUCCUGUAAAAAAAAUAAAGUUCAUUUUAGUUUGUUAGUAAAAAUGAACAGGUAAGGAAAAUGAAAAUAAUUCUGCUUGUCCCAAAGGCUUUUUCAAUCUGGAUCUGGGGGCAAGUCCAAGCUUUGAAAUGCAUCCUAUUAUAGUUGUCCCAAUUACCAAAAACAAGUUGAUGUUUCUGAAAGAAAAAUCUGAAAUGUUCUUUGUUACUAGUGCAGUAACACUAGUUAUUAGAGCAUGCAUAUUUGUGAUGAAGGUUUUUCCCUUUGGAAAGAAACAAAAAUUA
Molecule: non-coding RNA, 1208 nt
Organism: Cebus imitator (Panamanian white-faced capuchin)
Lineage: Eukaryota; Metazoa; Chordata; Mammalia; Primates; Cebidae
Source: the annotation of a RefSeq genome assembly